CAUACUCCCCUUUUCUUCCUUGAGUGACAGUGUCUUAGUAGGAAAGACCUGUCAGGUGUCUCCACGUAGACGGUGGGCCCGGGUCUGGCUGCAAAGCCCUUGAACCUGUGUCAGCAUCUGGCCCCACAGACUUCCGCCCGCCCCUUCCUGAGGCCACUGGGCCAAGUCACCUUCCCUAGCAAUUUCCUUACUGCUCUCCCUGGAGAUCUUUCUGAUACCUCUGAAAGUAAUUAGAAACAGCAGCUUCCCCUAGAAAUGUGUUCCAAAGCCCUGGAAGAAGAGACGGGAACCCCGAUGGGGCUAUGAUGCCAAAGUCCCUAAAAGACUAAGCAUUUGAAAUUGCUUCCUGAAGUAGCUGGAGCUCCAACCAUCUUUCAGGAAUCGCCAUUCUCCCAGCAGCGUUUGACUCCUGAUGCAAGAAUUUAAGAAAUGGAUAAAGAAGCUGAGAAGGACAACAACGAGAUAAAAAGACCGAUGACUAAAAAAAUCAAUUCUGACUUGGACAUUCUCUAAUUCCUUAAGAUUCUACAGAGGAGAGAGAGAGAUACACCAAGAGAGAGAAC
This is a long non-coding RNA of Callorhinus ursinus (northern fur seal), 563 nucleotides long. RefSeq lists it as uncharacterized. Lineage: Eukaryota; Metazoa; Chordata; Mammalia; Carnivora; Otariidae. The record is from RefSeq and is a predicted model, not a curated record.